AUUGAACGCUGGCGGCAUGCUUUACACAUGCAAGUCGAACGGCAGCACGGACUUCGGUCUGGUGGCGAGUGGCGAACGGGUGAGUAAUACAUCGGAACGUACCCAGUAAUGGGGGAUAACUAUCCGAAAGGAUAGCUAAUACCGCAUACGCCCUACGGGGGAAAGAGGGGGAUCGCGAGACCUCUUGUUAUUGGAGCGGCCGAUGGCUGAUUAGCUAGUUGGUAGGGUAAAGGCCUACCAAGGCAACGAUCAGUAGCGGGUCUUAGAGGACGAUCCGCCACACUGGAACUGCGACACGGUCCAGACUCCUACGGGAGGCAGCAGUGGGGAAGCUUGGACAAUGGGCGCAAGCCUGAUCCAGCAAUGCCGCGUGCGUGAAGAAGGCCUUCGGGUUGUAAAGCGCUUUUGUCAGGGAGCAAAUCCUUGUGGCUAAUACCCACCGGGGAUGAGAGUACCUGAAGAAUAAGGACCGGCUAACUACGUGCCAGCCGCCGCCGUAA
This 500-nucleotide ribosomal RNA is filed under the name uncultured bacterium. Its description in RNAcentral is "partial 16S ribosomal RNA". It matches the Rfam family "Bacterial small subunit ribosomal RNA", at positions 30 to 523 of the family's 1533-position model. The record is from RNAcentral.